UACGUAGGGUGCAAGCGUUAUCCGGAAUGAUUGGGCGUAAAGCGUCCGCAGGUGGCUGUGUAAGUCUGCUGUUAAAGAGUGAGGCUCAACCUCAUAAAGGCAGUGGAAACUACAUGGCUAGAGUGCGUUCGGGGCAGAGGGAAUUCCUGGUGUAGCGGUGAAAUGCGUAGAGAUCAGGAAGAACACCGGUGGCGAAGGCAGCUCUCUGGGACGGUACUGACGCUGAGACGCGAAAGCGUGGGGAGCGAACAGG
RNAcentral lists this ribosomal RNA (253 nucleotides) under uncultured bacterium. Its description in RNAcentral is "partial 16S ribosomal RNA". It matches the Rfam family "Bacterial small subunit ribosomal RNA", at positions 524 to 776 of the family's 1533-position model. The record is from RNAcentral.